Neopelma chrysocephalum (saffron-crested tyrant-manakin) is the source of this 365-nucleotide long non-coding RNA. RefSeq lists it as uncharacterized. Lineage: Eukaryota; Metazoa; Chordata; Aves; Passeriformes; Pipridae. The transcript is spliced from 3 exons. The record is from RefSeq and is a predicted model, not a curated record.
AGUCUUGUUCAGAAUCGAAAGCUGACAGAGAUUCAGGGCUCGCUGUCAGAGAUCCUGGGCUCGCUGUGACAUCCAGGGCCUGCUCUGCCCCCCUGGAAUGUCUCCCUGUACCCCGGGAGCCGCUGAUGGAGAGGGAAAAGAGCAGCGAGAGCGCUGCCGGCCCUCCCCAGUCCUGAAAAGCUUUCCAAGCCUCUUCCCGAGGGGUUGGUGGACCUGGCCACCGGCGAGGUGCUCAAAAAGCUACUGGAUGUGGCACUUCAUGCUACAACUGGUCUGGGUGACAAGGCCUUGCCCGGGGUCCCACUGCUCUAUUCCCGCACUGGCGCCUUCAUUUUACACCUCAGAGUUUGCAACUAAGGGUCAGG